UACGGAGGAUCCGAGCGUUAUCCGGAAUCAUUGGGUUUAAAGGGUCCGUAGGCGGGCCGUUAAGUCAGGGGUGAAAGUCUGCGGCUCAACCGUAGGACUGCCCUUGAUACUGGCGGCCUUGAGUUAUGGUGAAGCAGCCAGAAUAUGUGGUGUAGCGGUGAAAUGCAUAGAUAUCACAUGGAAUACCGAUUGCGAAGGCAGGCUGCUAACCAUAUACUGACGCUGAUGGACGAAAGCGUGGGUAGCGAACAGGAUUAGAUACCCUGGUAGUCCACGCCGUAAACGAUGGAUACUAGCUGUCCGGCGGCAACGCUGGGCGGCCAAGCGAAAGUGAUAAGUAUCCCACCUGGGGAGUACGUCCGCAAGAUUAAA
This 372-nucleotide ribosomal RNA is filed under the name uncultured bacterium. RNAcentral's name for it is "bacterial SSU rRNA". It matches the Rfam family "Bacterial small subunit ribosomal RNA", at positions 524 to 898 of the family's 1533-position model. The record is from RNAcentral.